GAAAUGCGAUAAGUAAUGUGAAUUGCAGAAUUCAGUGUAUCAUCGAAUCUUUGAACGCACCUUGCGCUCCUUGGUAUUCCUUGGAGCAUGCCUGUUUGAGUAUCAUGAAAUCUUCAAAGUAAAUCUUUUGUUAACUCAAUUGGUUUCUACUUUGGUAUUGGAGGUCUUUGCAGCUUCACACCUGCUCCUCUUUGUUCAUUAGCUGGAUCUCAGUGUUAUGCUUGGUUCCACUCGGCGUGAUAAGUUAUCUAUCGCUGAGGACACUGUAAAAGGUGGCCAAGGUAAAUGCAGAUGAACCGCUUCUAAUAGUCCAUUGACUUGGACAAUACUUUUAUGAUCUGAUCUCAAAUCAGGUAGGACUACCCGCUGAACUUAAGC
Molecule: unclassified non-coding RNA, 378 nt
Filed under: plant metagenome
Description: partial contains 5.8S ribosomal RNA, internal transcribed spacer 2, and large subunit ribosomal RNA
Rfam family: 5.8S ribosomal RNA (bases 1-105)
Source: RNAcentral